RNAcentral lists this ribosomal RNA (254 nucleotides) under uncultured bacterium. RNAcentral describes it as "partial 16S ribosomal RNA". It matches the Rfam family "Bacterial small subunit ribosomal RNA", at positions 524 to 776 of the family's 1533-position model. The record is from RNAcentral.
UACGGGGGGAGCAAGCGUUGUUCGGAUUUACUGGGCGUAAAGGGCGCGUAGGCGGCCACCGCAAGUCGACUGUGAAAUCUCCGGGCUUAACCCGGAAAGGUCAGCCGAUACUGCGGGGCUGGAGUGCAGAAGGGGCAACUGGAAUUCUCGGUGUAGCGGUGAAAUGCGUAGAUAUCGAGAGGAACACCUGCGGCGAAGGCGGGUUGCUGGGCUGACACUGACGCUGAGGCGCGAAAGCUAGGGGAGCGAACGGG